Molecule: transfer RNA, 55 nt
Filed under: Scaevola enantophylla
Lineage: Eukaryota; Viridiplantae; Streptophyta; Magnoliopsida; Asterales; Goodeniaceae
Description: partial tRNA-Leu
Source: RNAcentral
AAAUUUAUAGUAAAAGGAAAAUCCGUUGAUUUUUAAAAUCGUGAGGGUUCAAGUC